Non-coding RNA from Triticum urartu, 301 nucleotides. NCBI's taxonomy places the organism in Eukaryota, Viridiplantae, Streptophyta, Magnoliopsida, Poales, Poaceae. The record is from RefSeq and is a predicted model, not a curated record.
UUGUUCUGAAUAUUGCAGGUGGGCAUCACGGAGUUCCUGGCAGGGGUAGGGUGGCGAGAACAAUUAUUGUAGCAAAAAAGAAAAUGUGUGCUAGAUAUGGGAGAUGAUUUUUUUUUUCCUUCAAAAAUUCUUUGUUCACAGAAGGUAUGUAAGGACAAUCACACCUUCAGAAUUAGAACUUGUGGUGUCUUCCAUUUGAGAUCCUGGAUCCAUUGCAACGCUGGAUCUAUGAACAUAAAGUUUGAUUCAAGAAAAUAAAUAAAAUUGAAGCACUGUAAUCCUAUUUCUUUUCUUUUUUGAA